GCGGUCGUGCUGAAAUUGGUAGACAGGCACGGUUGAGGGCCGUGUGGACUUUAGUCCAUGAGAGUUCGAGUCUCUCCGACCGCACCA
Molecule: transfer RNA, 87 nt
Filed under: Candidatus Pelagibacter ubique HIMB083
Lineage: Bacteria; Pseudomonadati; Pseudomonadota; Alphaproteobacteria; Candidatus Pelagibacterales; Candidatus Pelagibacteraceae
Description: tRNA-Leu
Source: RNAcentral